RNAcentral lists this long non-coding RNA (323 nucleotides) under Salmo salar (Atlantic salmon). RNAcentral's name for it is "lncRNA (ENSSSAG00000099531.1)". The record is from RNAcentral. Lineage: Eukaryota; Metazoa; Chordata; Actinopteri; Salmoniformes; Salmonidae.
CGGGGCUAUAUACAGGGGGGUACCGGUACAGAGUCAAUGUGGAGGCUAUAUACAGGGGGUACCGGUACAGAGUCAAUGUGGAGGCUAUAUACAGGGGGGUACCGGUACAGAGUCAAUGUGGAGGCUAUAUACAGGGGGGUACCGGUACAGAGUCAAUGUGGAGGCUAUAUACAGGGUGUUACGGUAUAGAGUCAAUGUGGAGGCUAUAUACAGGGGGGUACCGGUACAGAGUCAAUGUGGAGGCUAUAUACAGGGGGGUACUGGUACAGAGUCAAUGUGGAGGCUAUAUACAGGGGGGUACCGGUACAGAGUCAAUGUGGAGG